UACGUAGGGUGCGAGCGUUGUCCGGAAUUAUUGGGCGUAAGGGCUCGUAGGCGGUCUGUCGCGUCGAAAGUGAAAACUCAGGGCUUAACCCUGAGCCUGCUUCCGAUACGGGCAGACUAGAGGUAUGCAGGGGAGAACGGAAUUCCUGGUGUAGCGGUGAAAUGCGCAGAUAUCAGGAGGAACACCGGUGGCGAAGGCGGUUCUCUGGGCAUUACCUGACGCUGAGGAGCGAAAGCAUGGGGAGCGAACGGG
This 252-nucleotide ribosomal RNA is filed under the name uncultured bacterium. RNAcentral's name for it is "partial 16S ribosomal RNA". It matches the Rfam family "Bacterial small subunit ribosomal RNA", at positions 524 to 776 of the family's 1533-position model. The record is from RNAcentral.